AACGAAUGCUGGCGGCAGGCUUAACACAUGCAAGUCGAACGGGCGCGAGCAAUCGCGUCAGUGGCAGACGGGUGAGUAACACGUGGGAACCUUCCUUAAGGUACGGGACAACUCAGGGAAACUUGAGCUAAUACCGUAUACGUCCGUGAGGAGAAAGAUUUAUCGCCUUUAGACGGGCCCGCGUCGGAUUAGCUAGUUGGUGGGUAACGGCCGUACCAAGGCGACGAUCCGUAGCUGAUCUGAGAGGAUGAUCAGCCACACUGGGACUGAGACACGGCCCAGACUCCUACGGGAGGCAGCAGUGGGGAAGUCUUGGACAAUGGGCGCAAGCCUGAUCCAGCCAUGCCGCGUGAGUGAAGAAGGCCUUAGGGUUGUAAAGCUCUUUUACCAGGGACGAUAAUGACGGUACCUGGAGAAUAAGCCCCGGCAAACUUCGUGCCAGCAGCCGCAGU
This 452-nucleotide ribosomal RNA is filed under the name uncultured bacterium. RNAcentral describes it as "bacterial SSU rRNA". It matches the Rfam family "Bacterial small subunit ribosomal RNA", at positions 29 to 521 of the family's 1533-position model. The record is from RNAcentral.